GGGCUAGAAACUCAAAUUGGAAUGAGUACCGGCCUUUUAAGCCGGGAGUUGCAGGUUCAAAUCCUGUCUAGCUCA
Molecule: transfer RNA, 75 nt
Filed under: Acidobacteriota bacterium
Lineage: Bacteria; Pseudomonadati; Acidobacteriota
Also listed under: 1 other name
Description: Acidobacteria bacterium (activated sludge metagenome) tRNA-Lys
Rfam family: tRNA
About the family: Transfer RNA (tRNA) molecules are approximately 80 nucleotides in length. Their secondary structure includes four short double-helical elements and three loops (D, anti-codon, and T loops).
Source: RNAcentral